AGAGGUGGCUGUCUUGUACAGGUCCCACAGUGCGAGCCUCCACCCCACGCCAGAGCAACGUGAAGCUGUGAGCAAAUUCAUUGGCGAAUGCAAGAUCCUUUCACCUCCUGAUAUCAGCCAUUUUGCAACAUCGCUCGUGGACAAUUCUCUGCCAUUGUUGAGGGCGGGCCCCAGUGACAGCAACCUUGACGGAACGGUGACAGAAAUGGCCAUUCAUGCUGCAGCCGUCCUUCUGUGUGGACAGAAUAAACUCUUGGAGCCCCUAAAGAAUCUGGCCUUCUCCCCAGCCAACAUGGCGCAUGCUUUUCUUCCAACCAUGCCUGAAGACUUGCUGGCUCAAGCUCGGAGGUGGAAGGGUCUGGAGGGAGUCCACUGGUACAGUAAGUGUUGGGGUCUGGAUGACCCCACACUCCUUUGAGCUUCAAAGGGUGUCCAGAUGCAAUGAAGCAUUGGGUUCGACUUGGGGUCCACGUGGUUUGUGCCUCAGAGUCCAAAACCACCUGCAUUCUACCGGUGGCGUCUGCAGAAGAUGAAUGGCUUGAAGGAGCUGGCACUCCGCCGGCUAGAUGAUCCAAACCAUUUCAUUUCUUUGUC
Molecule: small RNA, 594 nt
Filed under: Pongo abelii (Sumatran orangutan)
Lineage: Eukaryota; Metazoa; Chordata; Mammalia; Primates; Hominidae
Description: retained intron
Source: RNAcentral